UACUCCCGCCGGCGACCGGCGCACGGGUGAGUAACACGUAUGAAACCUGCCCGUAGCAGGGGAUAAGCGGAAGAAAUUCCGUCUAAUACCGCGUAACAACCCGAGGAGGCAUCUCCUCGGGUUUAAAGGAAGCGAUUCCGGCUACGGAUGGUCAUGCGUCGCAUUAGCUAGUUGGCGGGGUAACGGCCCACCAAGGCGACGAUGCGUAGGGGUUCUGAGAGGAAGGUCCCCCACACUGGUACUGAGACACGGACCAGACUCCUACGGAAGGCAGCAG
This 277-nucleotide ribosomal RNA is filed under the name uncultured bacterium. Its description in RNAcentral is "partial 16S ribosomal RNA". It matches the Rfam family "Bacterial small subunit ribosomal RNA", at positions 80 to 354 of the family's 1533-position model. The record is from RNAcentral.